This is a long non-coding RNA of Carassius gibelio (silver crucian carp), 684 nucleotides long. RefSeq lists it as uncharacterized. Lineage: Eukaryota; Metazoa; Chordata; Actinopteri; Cypriniformes; Cyprinidae. The record is from RefSeq and is a predicted model, not a curated record. The transcript has 3 exons.
CCAAGAGCUGGAUCUCAGUCACAGUGUCUCAUUCAGGAUCUCAGAUCGCUGUCCUCCACACACUCACUUCUGUACUGGCAGUUUGUCCAUAUCUGCUCGUGACAGUCGUGCUGAUCUUCAAAUGCUGCAGGAUGAGAGUCUGAUCUUUAUCUGUCAUGAUGGUGAGGAAACUUCAGCUUCAUCCUGGAGUCUCUCAGUGUCUCAGUUCAGAUUGAACAUGCUUGCUGUAAAAGUCAUGUUUUGGGAGUGACUCCUUUUGGCAUCUCACAGUUGUUUAAGUCUACAUGAACCUGCAUCACAACUCUUUUGACUUCUGAGUUAAACAGAAUACUCAAUGAGAAAAUGUGUAGAGAAGAAUUUGAUUUUAUCAAUCAGGAAUUAUUUGGAAUAAAAAAAAAAAAAAGCCUGAUAUGUACACUUACUGGCCACUUUAUUAGGUACACCUGUUCAAUUGCUUGGUAACAUAAAUUGCUAAUUAGCCAAUAACAUGGCAGCAACUCAAUGCAUUUAGGCAUCUAAAUGCCUUGUUGAUGUCAGAGGAGAACGGCAGACUGGUUAGAGAUGAUAGAAAGUCAACAGUAACUCAAAUAACCACUCGUUACAACCAAGGUAUGCAGAAGGCCAUCUCUGAACUCACAACACGUCAAACCCUGAAGCAGAAUCAUAUAUAUAUAUUUUUUUUUU